UAUCUGCAUGUAGACCAGGC
This 20-nucleotide unclassified non-coding RNA is filed under the name Saccharomyces cerevisiae (brewer's yeast). RNAcentral's name for it is "RNA from Saccharomyces cerevisiae (PDB 5M3F, chain R)". The record is from RNAcentral. Lineage: Eukaryota; Fungi; Ascomycota; Saccharomycetes; Saccharomycetales; Saccharomycetaceae. RNAcentral also lists the same sequence under 1 other name.